AACCUCCACAUUAUUGAUCAAAGAGGCUGAGAUGAAAGAGAAAAUGUCUGUCUAUGUGUAUAUUUAUUUAUUUAUUUAUAUGUGUGUGUGAGUGUAUACAAACUCUGUUUAUGAACUCAGCAAGAAAGAUUAAUUCGUUAGAUCUGUUAACCUCCACUUCAAAGUGUCUGAGUACUGUUGUACAACAACCAAAAGGAUGACAAUGAAUGUUUGUCAUCAAAAAACUAAUUCCCACUUUGUUGCUUUUGACCAUUGUUUGAUGGUGACUCACCUGCUUCAUGCAUAUUUCUUUGUGUCCCCGUCUCUCUUUUUCUGUAUCUGUUUUGUCUGUCUGUUUCUCUCUUGCUCUCUCUAAAUGUAAAUUGAGAGCCCGCCCCCGACGGGUCACUUUACUAAUGUGAAAAGACACAAAUUCACAUGCGUGUUUAGCAUCGGAAUAACCCGGCAUCCAAUCACUGGACAAUACACAUCACCCCUCGCUCUGUCAUCGUGAUGUCACAGGGUGUGUAGAGCAUGUAAGUGUGUUGCGUAGCGAGUGUGGGCACGCGGCAGUGCGGAGCAUCGGCUCAAAUCUGAGAUUUAUUCUUUUGUGUCGAAAACGCAGAGGGCCGUGAAUGAGCAUAAGUGCGGUGAAGUCUCACGGCGCUGCUGCUGGAGGCUGAAUGAUUAUGACUGACCAAAGCCACAAGGAAGAAAACUCUCUACUGGACCAACAGGAAGAGGUCAGAUGGGUUAUUUUCAAUGGACCAAUCAGUACACAGAUUAACAGAGGUAUAGAGGUAAACCGUGCCUAUAGAGGUAAAUCGUUUGUUAAUCAAUAAACUGGAAAAGUAUGGUAUCAGAGGAGUUGCAUUAGAUUGGAUGAAAAGUUACAUAAGUAACAGACUACAAUUUGUUCAAAUGGGGGAGUACAGAUCGGAGUGCUUGGGUAUUACCUGUGGAGUACCACAGGGGUCAAUAUUGGGUCCAAAAUUAUUUAUUAUGUACAUAAAUGACAUAUGUAGGGUGAAUAACCUCUUAAAAUUUGUGAUUUUUGCUGAUGAUACUAAUAUUUUCUGUUCAGUGGAAAAUCUGAAGCAGCUUUUGGAGGUGGUCACAUCAGAAAUCAAUAAGUUAAAAAUAUGGUUUGACUUAAAUAAAUUAUCGUUAAAUCUAGAUAAAACCAAAUUUAUGCUGUUUGGUAAUCGCAAAACUGACACACAAGUAAAAGUUAUGAUUAAUAAUGUUAAAAUAGAAAGAGUCUAUGAAAAUAAAUUUUGGGUGUGAUUCUUGAUCAUAAAAUUUGUUGGAAACCACAUAUCAAAUACGUUAGAACAAAAGUAGCGCAGAGUGUUGGAGUAAUGGGGAAAGCAAGGCAUGUAUUGAGUAAAAAAAGCACUUUUUAUUUUGUAUUGUUCACUUGUGUUGCCUUAUUUAAAUUAUUGUGUUGAAGUAUGGGGCAACACCUACAAAACCACCUUUCAAACAUUAAGCACAAUACAAAAAAGAGCAAUUAGAAUAGUAAAUAAGGUAGGAUAUCAUGAGCAUACUAAUUUACUAUAUUUACUAUAGCACACUCUAAAGUUUAAUGAUCUCGUUAAAUUUAAGACCGCUCAAUUAAUUUAUAAAGCAAUAAAUAAACAGUUGCCUGGAAACAUACAACAGUUAUUUACUGAUAGGGUUGGGGGUUAUAACUUGAGAGGGGAUUUAAAUUUGGGUCAACAUUGGACUCGGACAAAACUCAAAAGUAUGUGUAUUUUGAUUUGUGGGGUGCUUUUGUGGAAUGGUCUGAGCAGUUCGAUCAAACAAAGUGUUAAUAUGUUGCGAUUUAAAAAAAGGUACAAAAGUUUUAUUUUUGAUAAGUAUAGAAGUGGAGAGGGUGAAUGAUAAUUCAUUAUGGCGGUAAAUGCUGCUUGAUAAUGGUUUUUGUAUAUGCUUUUUGUCUUCAUCUUAAUAUUAAGAUAAAGCAUUAUUUUAAUUUAGUAUUUUUUUGUAUUAUUUAAAACGUUAAGUUUGAUUUAUCUUGUUCGAUUGUGAAUUGGUUUGGGUAGUUACUGGGGGUAGGUCUUGAUAAGCCUAGGGCUUCUACCUAUCCCUUUUCGAACUUGUUGAUUAUUAUGUUGAU
Cyprinus carpio (common carp) is the source of this 2104-nucleotide long non-coding RNA. RefSeq lists it as uncharacterized. The transcript has 3 exons. NCBI's taxonomy places the organism in Eukaryota, Metazoa, Chordata, Actinopteri, Cypriniformes, Cyprinidae. The record is from RefSeq and is a predicted model, not a curated record.